CGCUAGGAAGCUAAACAUUGGACAAAGCAUUGGCCUUUUAAGCCAAAGAUUGGUGAUUCCCGACCACCCCUAGUGA
This 76-nucleotide transfer RNA is filed under the name Osteobrama cotio cotio. RNAcentral describes it as "tRNA-Lys". It matches the Rfam family "tRNA". From Rfam's summary of the family: Transfer RNA (tRNA) molecules are approximately 80 nucleotides in length. Their secondary structure includes four short double-helical elements and three loops (D, anti-codon, and T loops). Lineage: Eukaryota; Metazoa; Chordata; Actinopteri; Cypriniformes; Cyprinidae. The record is from RNAcentral. RNAcentral also lists the same sequence under 1 other name.